UUGAUGGAAUCGUUGUUGGAGAUUCAAUUUCGUUUUCUAAUCUCAAAGCAGCAAUUGCGGCCGAGUUGGACAUUGAUGUAUCAAGGAAAGAAAUUGAAAUUCGAUACAUUGUAGAAGACAGGUCAGAUAUACAAGGAUAAAGCAACACUUGUAGAUGUGAUGACGAAAUAUAAGAUAAAGAACAACUUCAACUGCAAAGUGAAGAGGUCUGAUCAACAAAGCUAUGUGUUG
Molecule: long non-coding RNA, 231 nt
Organism: Solanum pennellii
Lineage: Eukaryota; Viridiplantae; Streptophyta; Magnoliopsida; Solanales; Solanaceae
Exons: 3
Source: RefSeq, a predicted model, not a curated record